GAAAUGCGAUAAGUAAUGUGAAUUGCAGAAUUCAGUGAAUCAUCGAAUCUUUGAACGCACAUUGCGCCCGCCAGUAUUCUGGCGGGCAUGCCUGUCCGAGCGUCAUUUCAACCAUCAAGCCCCCGGGCUUGUGUUGGGGACCUGCGGCUGCCCGCAGGCCCUGAAAACCAGUGGCGGGCUCGCUGUCACACCGAGCGUAGUAGCAAUCACCUCGCUCAGGGCGUGCUGCGAGUUCCGGCCGUUAAACAGCCUUACAAAACCCAAGGUUGACCUCGGAUCAGGUAGGAAGACCCGCUGAACUUAAGC
Molecule: unclassified non-coding RNA, 306 nt
Filed under: plant metagenome
Description: partial contains 5.8S ribosomal RNA, internal transcribed spacer 2, and large subunit ribosomal RNA
Rfam family: 5.8S ribosomal RNA (bases 1-105)
Source: RNAcentral